GCAGAAUUGCAAUGCAAAUAAACUCCAGUAAAAUCUUUCACAACCUCUCCAGGGUUAACUCCACACCAUUGUUUCCAGUUAACAAUUUAUAAACUUGGAUUUACUGAUUAUCGUUGUCUGGACAAUAGACUGCAGCUGUUAAUGCUUUAUAGUGUCAGACUUUGUCAAGUGAUUAACAGACUAAACUGAAUAAUUUCGCCUUCACCAAGAUGCUGAAGCAAGUUUGCGUUAAAAGGUUUAAUUUUCUUCUAUUGGCUUUACCUCUGUGUAGUUCCACUGACUUCAGUGAAGCUGACAUCCCUCAACACUGAAUCCUAUGGAAGAUGUCGCCUAACGCGUGCACAUCAUGUGCAUUUGUUUAAAAGAUCAGUGCACACAGUUCGUAUCUCUCAAUAUUUAGGCCUGCAGCUGAUGUUGAUGCCACUAGAAAUUAUUUUAUGAAGUAAAUCAGUCAUUCAGAUAUUGCUGGCUAUGAAAAAUUUCCAGUUGGACAGGACAACUCACAAAAAUAAGAAACAUCUGCUAGCCAUUCUGCUGCUGCUUCUCCUUCUCUACUCUUCCACUCCAUUCCUAUCCCCCCCUGCUACUAUUAUUUACUUACACUGCUAUUGAUGCAGGGUUUGAAGAUUUAGGCAAUCUUUUUGUCUUUAAAAUCUGGCAUUUUUGGAUUUAGUUGAGGUCACCUAAGCAAUGAAGAAACUGACAGCUGCUUGUUGGAAUAUAACUGGGCGAAAUUAUUUUUUCCCUGGGGGGUAGAAUUGUGACCUGGUUACAUGGCUGGAACAGAAGGGAGCUUUUUUAAAGGUUUUACCCCUCUUGCAAUUGUGCUACCACAUGUAUACAAUCCUGAGCUGUUAGGCUGAUGGAAAAUGCAGUCUGAAAGCUCCAAGAAAGCCUGACUGCUACAAAGCUGACAUUUUAUUAACAAGUGUUAUGUUCGCAAGUUGUGUAGCCCCAACUUUACUCCGGAAUUUAAAAGGUCACUGCGGACACCAAAUAAGGCUUCAAACAUUCAAGACCUGCUGUGAAGGACAGCUGGCAAUGCACACAGAGCUCUGCCACAGGGCGAUAAAAGAAUGAAGCGAAUAUUUUAGCAGUGCAGUGUCACUAAUUAACACAAAAUUUAUUUACUUGUAAGAUAAAUAUAUUUGGAAAUGGUAAAUGCUCCAGAAAGAAUGUUUGUCCAUCAGUUGUGCAAGUGUUAGUUAAGUAGGAAACACACAAGACGUCCCUUGGCUAGGAUCUGAAGCACCAAGGCUGAGUAUCUCCAGAGUCAGAGACAUGGUGUUGUUGAAUUGGACGAUGAUUUCACAAUGACUGCAUAGAACCUGCUGGUUACAGUGGAGUGACCUCUUAUUUAUGCCCUUUUAGAAUGAGAGAAGAGCAGCAUUUUCUGAGUAUCAUGCAUAACACUUGUACCUCCCCGCAGAUGCACAGCCCUGUGGCACCGACCUUCAGGUGCUGCAGAGUAUCAGCACUUUGAAACAGCAAUAUUAGAGAUUUUAAGUCAGUAGCUUACAAAUAUAAGGUACUAGGAAAGGUGUUUCUCCUACAUUCAACUCUGCCUAAUGGGUAUGACAGCACUGACAGCACUGCCUUGCACUUCCAGCAGGUUCAGAGGUGAGUAGGAUCUGAAGAGAGAAGCAUAAAAAUAAAGUUCUCACUGAUUGUUUUUCUCCUUCAAGGAUAUUUCAUAUUUGUUCUUGGCUCACAAAAAGUUUUAAUGUACCUGAAAUUCUGAUUUAUUUAUUUUUUCUAGUAGGAAUGUAAAAUAGAGCAGGGUUGAAGCUUUUUCUGCUAAUACAGAAUAGCUUUACAACAUUCCUAUCCAGUCAAAUGGCACAUGAAAAAAGGCUGCUGAAAAACUGAAGGCCAUUGGAAGUCCUGCACAGCUGUACUACUUGGGACCCAGGGGAAGCAUAGAAAUAUGAAUAAUUAAUCAUCAUAAUUUGAAAAUGCUUCCUUGUGAAUGACUUUUAAGAGCUUCAAAUGUGACCAUGGGGAUUUCUUCUUGAAAGAAGUUCGAGAUGGCCAAGUUGUCCCAAUGUUAGGUGAAAAAUGUCUCCUGCAGCAUUAAUUAUACUUCAGUCCUGUGAUAACAUAGAGGUGACUUAUUGUGGAUUCCUUCACAGAAGACCACAUCCCAUGCCAGAAAAUCAUAAGCCAUAUUUCCCGUGUGUGGCCACCAAGAACAUCAUGUGUGGUCAUUCUGUCAAAUCAUAUUCUCCCAAAUAACUCCAAUACAAUGCUUUAAUAGGCACUGUCAGUGUGCAGUGGCCACAUCUCAACAAAAAAAAUACCUUUGAAAACAUCCGUCCCAGGAUAGCGAUGUACAGCACCAAACCCACUCAAGCUACUAAGCAAAAAGUCAGAUUGUUGGACAAAUGGGCCACACAGUAAGAGACUGUCCACCAGCUUAAAUCAUUCACACUUACAAACUACCAAAGCCUUGCAGGCAACAGCAGACGGUCAUUUUAAACUGUCUUGAUGUGCUGCCUAGCCAGUCUUCAGAGCAACUGAAAAGCACAAGUUCUCCAGGAAGGUAUCUGAGACAGGCAGAGAGAGGUGGUACUUAUCAAGGUGCUGAAUGGAUUCCACUGUAUUAACUCAGAAUCCAUCUGCUUUUACCAGAUGUUAAAUAAUUAACCUCAUCUCAGCAUGACAUAAUUUAUACUUAAUAUAUCCUCCUCUCUUCAGACUCUUGUUUUAGUUUACACAAUUAACUGAAAGCCAAGAAAUAGAUGUAAGCCAUUCCAUAUGGCAUCAUGCCUUGUUCCCAAGUGAGAAUGUAUAUGGCAAUUACAUAUUCAUAAGCCUCCCAAUAAGGUUAUCCUGGCUCUUUGUGUCAUUGAGUUCAAUUUAAAUCCAUUCAGUGUAAAACCACUGCAAAGGGAAGUGAGCGUAAAACACACUAGCAGUCCCUCAGAUCUAGUACAGCUCCAGGACCGCUAGGUCUACAGUACAAUUUGUUGAAGCUUUUGGAUGCUUAGAUAUCAUCCAACAGAGAAAAUCCACUGGAGUGUCGCAGUGCUCUGGAGUUGCCCCUCCACUGGAAGGGUGUGAAAGAGAGGUCAAAAAUUUCUGUCAUGCUAAAAUACAAAGAAAUUCACUAGUCACAAAAUCUAGAUAAUGUAUCGCUCUUUGAAUCUCUGGAAUAACACACAGGGAAGAUUAAUGGAAACAUGAGAUUGUCCUUUCAUCUGCUUUUCCCUUACAAAUCUUAAAUUCAAAACACAUUCUAUACAGUAUAAUAAAACCUCAGAAGCACUAAUGCAUAGUCCAUAGGAUCGAAAAGAGAAGCAAAGAAGUGGGCAGUCUCAGAAUGGUUUUCUUUGUAUUUGCCUACUGCAGUUGGAAUGAAACAUUCUACUCCAAUUAUGCUUUAUUCUGUGGUUGUUUCUUUUUUCUUUUAGCUUCAAAAGUGCAGAGACACUGCCAAAAUGAAACAUUCACACUCCACUCAGUAUUAAACAACUGAAGAUGAUGUGCUUCCAGGUAGUACAGUAUCUCGUUAAAUCAGAGUCUAAUCAAGCCAUAAAUGAAACACGUCAAGGCACUGGCUAACUGAACUGUCUCAUUAGUAUCUGACCUCCACUUUCAGAAAAACUCUGUGAGGAUCAAUUACAAAGAGGGAACAUUUUUGUUUCAUAAAGAACAUGGUGAAGAAUAGUAUGUAGUUAUGGUAGAGGGUUACUUCAGUGUACUCAGAAAGUGUUUGAAGUUUAAUUCGGCACUACAUACUGUUAAUUCAGAGCACUUUCAACUCAGAAUAGUUUAACAGAAAUUGAAAAUACCAAUGAAUCUACACCUGCACUAAAAGUAGGAUCCAUCUUACCUAUUGAUCUGUGUUCUGCAGAACUAGUGCUUGAUUCUGGUAGUCAUCAAACUCUGACUCUGAACUUAAAGCUGUGACGUCAACUGAGCUGCUCUGGGUCCUGUUCUGCCCUAUAUGUGACAGUAUAUUUUGAACCAACAUUGUGAAACAACUGAAUGUGGGAAAUCCAUUAUUAGAAACUCCACAAUUCCUUACAGCUUCCUUUCCUACCUUCUGCAACAUGCUCUUCCUCUCUAUUACCUCUUAGCAGUGCUAAAGAUAGAGGAGGAGACAUGAAGAACACAAAAAUCUUUCUAGCAUGCCUGUUUUAGGGGUGAGAAGAAAGACACGGACAGCUUUGACAAGAUUGAAGCUAAAUAUAAACUCAUCCCAUAUUUCUUUGCAAAUGAGCCUUGAAUGAAUUCUUCAGCAUCUUCCAUCUCCUGGCCACUUUCUCAUAAUUGUAGAGCUUUCACUAAGAUCUUUUACAGGAAUUCUGUCAGAGGAUGGCAGAUGACCUGAUGCAGACAGUAGCAAAAAUCUGACAUCCUGAAUCCUGCACAGGAGGGCAUGGUUGAGAAAUGAAGUCCAAAAAUUCUUAUAAAUGUUACCACGGGAUCUUUAAAUGUCCAGAUAAAGGAGACAUGACCUCAAUCCUUAGCCUUUCCUCCAAAAAGCACAAACAAUAAUAAUAACUAUAGCUAAUAACAAAUAAUAUUAAAUAUAAGGAAAAUAUGUAAGACACUAACCAUUUCGAAGAGCCGCUAGACUGAAAUGACCUUUCCGUAAUGUUGGAAAGUUUUCUAAGAAGAAAUGUUUAAUUUUCAUAAGCAAAGAGCUUAACUCACUGCAUUACAGAAGUCACUGGGAGUUCUGCCAUUGACUUAAAGGAUCACGCUUUUUUAAGUGACUGAAAGGGAAGAAAGUGUGUAACGUAGUUAACAUUUGGAAGAAAGGAGUUCUGAAUUUUCUGGAAGAUGUCCUGGAAGAGUAAAGUUGCAAACAUGAAGCAUAUGUGUAAUUUGAAGCAAAACAGCUCCUCACAUGCAAAAAGCUAAGCAUAUUGCCAAGUUGUCAUGGAACUGGGAUCUUGAACAUACUUCGAGAGAGGUCAUAUGUGUAUGUCUGCUUGGAGGACACCCUAUCACCAUGUCUGUCAUCAUGAAAUUUCUUUAAUUGUCUCUUUGUAAAUGAGAAUCUUUACAAUAAGAAAGAGGAUUAGAUAACUAUUAUGAAGUUAAUUUAAAGCACAGAAAUUCUUUUGACAUUAUGGUUGUAGCCAAAAAUUGUAAUUUUUUCUGUCAGAAAUACCACUGAAUUUUGUAGUUUUUGUGAUAUCAUUACCUUGUGGCAGUACUUGGCUUUUAUUUAAAUGCAUUGAGUACUCCUGGAGUGGAACAAUAUUCAUUCAGCUUUCCAAGAGAGAUAACAUUUUUUUUAAAAAAAAAAAAAAGGAUGAAAUGUACCAGUGAAGGCUGUCCUGUGCUUGGUCUAAACAUAGUAACAGUCACACAAAAUAACAGUAAAAGAACAAAAAAGGUAAUGAAUUGUAUUCUUCUACUUGGUUUUUUAAAAAAGAAAAGUCACAAGUGACAAAGUCUCUCCACCUGCCAAGAGUAAUGAGUGAUACAGGCCAACAUUAAUAAAAUAUUUUAGUCUUGGGAAAUGUUAUGUCAAUCAAAGCAAAGUACUGCUGUUGUAGUCACUGAAGCAUGUGCUUGACUAAGUACAAGAACUGGUGUCCAGCGCGUGCUUCGCUGUGCAUGGGCUUGGCUGCAUGCUCAGGGCCUGAAUUUCAGUAAGUGCUGUCCAUAUGCCUGUUAUAAAUACUGCUUUAGCUUUGCUACUAUGAAACAGAACAGCUGCAGGUUUCAGAACUGCAUGUACACACACACAUAAAAAAAGGAAAAAAAAAGUAGCUUCCCAUUCAAGGAAAUAAAAAUAUCCUUACAAAAGUCCAAUGCUGUAUCAGCAACAAUACUUGUCAGCCAACAUUACUGCUUUUUUAUCACAGCUGUAACCUUGAUCGUGUUUGCAUACUGUCUCUUCCCGUUAGUGUAGUUCUCCUGCUGUUUAUCCCUUUGCUCUAUCUUUGCAUUCUUUCUGUGUAAGUAUAAUAAAUGUGUUAUAUGACUGGUAUUUCUGCCAGCAAAACUAGAAAUCACUCCCCAGUGUUGGCAUUUCACCUUUGACUCAGCGCCCUGGAAUCCUGCCGGAUGUUCCUACGUUCUCAGGCUAUAUCGCUGGCUGCAGAUACACAGAGGACAGGCAUCGGACGUGUCACAACUGACAUCACCAGUGACUCUGUGCAUGCUGCGGGAUAUUACUAAAAAUUAUUUGUGGACUACGAUAUUAUUGAGUACCAGUGAGAGUUUAAAAAUAAAUUUCAAAGGCCCUCAUCACAUUUUUUAAUGUGAUGAUUUUCCUUUCUUCCUGUCUCUU
This is a long non-coding RNA of Cuculus canorus (common cuckoo), 6256 nucleotides long. RefSeq lists it as uncharacterized. Lineage: Eukaryota; Metazoa; Chordata; Aves; Cuculiformes; Cuculidae. The transcript has 3 exons. The record is from RefSeq and is a predicted model, not a curated record.